Molecule: long non-coding RNA, 479 nt
Organism: Canis lupus familiaris (dog)
Lineage: Eukaryota; Metazoa; Chordata; Mammalia; Carnivora; Canidae
Exons: 2
Source: RefSeq, a predicted model, not a curated record
CUUGGAAGGGAAGACAGAAGUCAGAGACUUUGGGAGGCAAAGCAGAUGAAAAGUGAAGGACACAGUAAUGAACGUACUGCAUAGGGGACUGUGGAAGGAAACCCCCAAAUCUGCAUACUAGCACAUUUGUAAUCAUUGGGUGGUUGACAAAAAGGAAAUAAAAACCACACUGUAAAAGAUCAUAAUCUCAUCUCAAGUCUAAAAUGAUUUCUACUAAAGAAGAUCCAUGACUAAGAGUUUACAUUUCAAAAUUACAAAAUGUACAAGGUUUUACAACAAAGGAGUGUCAAUAGACACAAUAAAGAACAGACUGAAAUCCUCCAGAAAGCUUCAGAAAAUAGUUGACCAUCUGAAAGACAUUAUACAAUGGUAUAUCCAAAAUUAUUAAAAGCCUAAAAGAAGGAACAUAAAACAAGACAAAAUAUACUAGAAAAGAUAACUUGGAGGAAGAGCAAAAAACCCAUUUCUAACAUUAAAAA